This 930-nucleotide ribosomal RNA is filed under the name uncultured Bacteroidota bacterium. RNAcentral's name for it is "bacterial SSU rRNA". It matches the Rfam family "Bacterial small subunit ribosomal RNA", at positions 221 to 1153 of the family's 1533-position model. Lineage: Bacteria; Pseudomonadati; Bacteroidota. The record is from RNAcentral.
AUGGAUGGGCUCGCGUGACAUUAGCUGGUUGGUAGGGUAACGGCCUACCAAGGCGACGAUGUCUAGGGGCUCUGAGAAGAGAAUCCCCCACACUGGUACUGAGACACGGACCAGACUCCUACGGGAGGCAGCAGUAAGGAAUAUUGGUCAAUGGAGGGAACUCUGAACCAGCCAUGCCGCGUGCAGGAAGACGGCCCUACGGGUUGUAAACUGCUUUUGCACGGGAAUAACCCUUUCUAUGUAUAGAGAGCUGAAUGUACCGUGAGAAUAAGGAUCGGCUAACUCCGUGCCAGCAGCCGCGGUAAUACGGAGGAUCCGAGCGUUAUCCGGAAUUAUUGGGUUUAAAGGGUGCGCAGGCGGGAUGCUAAGUCAGGGGUGAAAGACGGUGGCUCAACCAUCGCAGUGCCUUUGAUACUGGUGUCCUUGAAUGUACUUGAGGUAGGCGGAAUGUGGCAAGUAGCGGUGAAAUGCAUAGAUAUGCCACAGAACACCGAUUGCGUAGGCAGCUUACUAAGGUAUGAUUGACGCUGAGGCACGAAAGCGUGGGGAUCGAACAGGAUUAGAUACCCUGGUAGUCCACGCCCUAAACGAUGAACACUCGAUGUCGGCGAUAGACAGUCGGCGUCCAAGCGAAAGCGUUAAGUGUUCCACCUGGGGAGUACGCCCGCAAGGGUGAAACUCAAAGGAAUUGACGGGGGCCCGCACAAGCGGAGGAGCAUGUGGUUUAAUUCGAUGAUACGCGAGGAACCUUACCCGGGCUUGAAAGUUACUGAAGGUAGCAGAGAUGUUACCGUCCUUCGGGACAGGAAACUAGGUGCUGCAUGGCUGUCGUCAACUCGUGCCGUGAGGUGUUGGGUUAAGUCCCGCAACGAGCGCAACCCCUGUGGAUAGUUGCCAGCACAUAAAGGUGGGGACUCUAUCCAGACUGCC